CAGCCGCCGCGGUAAUACGUAGGGUGCAAGCGUUAAUCGGGAUUACUGGGCGUAAAGCGUGCGCAGGCGGCUAUGCAAGACAGAUGUGAAAUCCCCGGGCUCAACCUGGGAACUGCAUUUGUGACUGCAUGGCUAGAGUACGGUAGAGGGGGAUGGAAUCCCGCGUGUAGCAGUGAAAUGCGUAGAUAUGCGGAGGAACACCGAUGGCGAAGGCAAUCCCCUGGACCUGUACUGACGCUCAUGCACGAAAGCGUGGGGAGCAAACAGGAUUAGAUACCCCCGUAGUCCCUGUCUCUUAUAC
Molecule: ribosomal RNA, 301 nt
Filed under: uncultured bacterium
Lineage: Bacteria
Description: partial 16S ribosomal RNA
Rfam family: Bacterial small subunit ribosomal RNA
Source: RNAcentral